UACGUAGGGUCCGAGCGUUGUCCGGAGUUACUGGGCGUAAAGCGCGCGCAGGCGGCUCGUCAAGUCUGGCAUGAAAGCCCCCGGCUCAACCGGGGAGGGUCGUCGGAGACUGGCGAGCUUGAGGGCGGUAGGGGCUGGUGGAAUUCCCGGUGUAGUGGUGAAAUGCGUAGAGAUCGGGAGGAACACCCGUGGCGAAGGCGGCCAGCUGGGCCGUCCCUGACGCUGAGGCGCGAAGGCGUGGGGAGCGAACGGG
Molecule: ribosomal RNA, 253 nt
Filed under: uncultured bacterium
Lineage: Bacteria
Description: partial 16S ribosomal RNA
Rfam family: Bacterial small subunit ribosomal RNA
Source: RNAcentral